AGGAGCAGCAGCGCGCNAAUUACCCACUCCCGGCACGGGGAGGUAGUGACGAAAAAUAACGAUACGGGACUCAUCCGAGGCCCCGUAAUCGGAAUGAGUACACUUUAAACCCUUUAACGAGUAUCCAUUGGAGGGCAAGUCUGGUGCCAGCAGCCGCGGUAAUUCCAGCUCCAAUAGCGUAUAUUAAAGUUGUUGCGGUUAAAAAGCUCGUAGUUGGACUUGUGUCCCACGCUGUCGGUUCACCGUUCGUCGGUGUUUAACUGGCAUGCCCGUGCGGACGUCCUGCCGGUGGAUGCGGUCGGCCGUGGGCCUCUGGUCUGCGCGUCGGCGGUCCGAUGCAAUCCUACCGCGGUGCUCUUCACCGAGUGUCGAGGUGGGCCGGCACGUUUACUUUGAACAAAUUAGAGUGCUCAAAGCAGGCAGUGGUUCGCCUGAAUAUUGUGUGCAUGGAAUAAUGGAAUAGGACCUCGGUUCUAUUUUGUUGGUUUGCGGAACUUGAGGUAAUGAUUAAUAGGGACAGACGGGGGCAUUCGUAUUGCGACGUUAGAGGUGAAAUUCUUGGAUCGUCGCAAGACGAACCUAAGCGAAAGCAUUUGCCAUGAGUGUUUUCAUUAAUCAAGAACGAAAGUUAGAGGUUCGAAGGCGAUCAGAUACCGCCCUAGUUCUAACCAUAAACGAUGCCAGCUAGCGAUCCGCCGAAGUUCCUCCGAUGACUCGGCGGGCAGCUUCCGGGAAACCAAAGCUUUUGGGUUCCGGGGGAAGUAUGGUUGCAAAGCUGAAACUUAAAGGAAUUGACGGAAGGGCACCACCAGGAGUGGAGCCUGCGGCUUAAUUUGACUCAACACGGGAAACCUCACCAGGCCCGGACACCGGAAGGAUUGACAGAUUGAGAGCUCUUUCUUGAUUCGGUGGGUGGUGGUGCAUGGCCGUUCUUAGUUGGUGGAGCGAUUUGUCUGGUU
RNAcentral lists this ribosomal RNA (959 nucleotides) under Spinotectarchus acornutus. RNAcentral describes it as "SSU rRNA". It matches the Rfam family "Eukaryotic small subunit ribosomal RNA", at positions 421 to 1320 of the family's 1831-position model. Lineage: Eukaryota; Metazoa; Arthropoda; Insecta; Phasmatodea; Diapheromeridae. The record is from RNAcentral.